Molecule: ribosomal RNA, 452 nt
Filed under: uncultured bacterium
Lineage: Bacteria
Description: bacterial SSU rRNA
Rfam family: Bacterial small subunit ribosomal RNA
Source: RNAcentral
AGCGAACGCUGGCGGCAUGCUUAACACAUGCAAGUCUCACGGGCAGCAAUGUCAGUGGCGGACGGGUGAGUAACGCGUAGGUAUCUAUCUCUGGGUGGGGGACAACUGUGGGAAACUACGGCUAAUACCGCAUGACACCUGAGGGUCAAAGGCGCAAGUCGCCUGGAGAGGAGCCUGCGUUCGAUUAGCUAGUUGGUGGGGUAAAGGCCUACCAAGGCGAUGAUCGAUAGCUGGUCUGAGAGGAUGAUCAGCCACACUGGGACUGAGACACGGCCCAGACUCCUACGGGAGGCAGCAGUGGGGAAUAUUGGACAAUGGGCGCAAGCCUGAUCCAGCAAUGCCGCGUGUGUGAAGAAGGUUUUCGGAUUGUAAAGCACUUUCGGCGGGGACGAUGAUGACGGUACCCGCAGAAGAAGCCCCGGCUAACUUCGUGCCAGCCGCCGCAGUAAUAC